RNAcentral lists this ribosomal RNA (605 nucleotides) under uncultured cyanobacterium. RNAcentral's name for it is "bacterial SSU rRNA". It matches the Rfam family "Bacterial small subunit ribosomal RNA", at positions 157 to 795 of the family's 1533-position model. Lineage: Bacteria; Bacillati; Cyanobacteriota. The record is from RNAcentral.
CGACUGCUAAUACCCAAUGUGCCGAAAGGUGAAAGAUUUAUCGUCUGAAGAUGGGCUCGCGGCUGAUUAGCUAGUUGGUGGUGUAAGAGACUCCCAAGGCAACGAUCAGUAGCUGGUCUGAGAGGAUGAGCAGCCACACUGGAACUGAGAAACGGUCCAGACUCCUACGGGAGGCAGCAGUGGGGAAUUUUCCGCAAUGGGCGAAAGCCUGACGGAGCAAUACCGCGUGAGGGAGGAAGGUUCUUGGAUUGUAAACCUCUUUUCUUAGGGAAGAAGUACUGACGGUACCUAAGGAAUAAGCAUCGGCUAACUCCGUGCCAGCAGCCGCGGUAAUACGGAGGAUGCAAGCGUUAUCCGGAAUUAUUGGGCGUAAAGCGUCCGUAGGUGGUGUUUCAAGUCUGCCGUCAAAGCAUGGAGCUUAACUCCAUAAAGGCGGUGGAAACUGAGAGACUAGAGUACAGUAGGGGUAGCAGGAAUUCCCAGUGUAGCGGUGAAAUGCGUAGAUAUUGGGAAGAACAUCGGUGGCGAAAGCGUGCUACUGGACUGAAACUGACACUGAGGGACGAAAGCUAGGGUAGCGAAAGGGAUUAGAUACCCCUGUAGUC